Molecule: ribosomal RNA, 99 nt
Filed under: Microcebus murinus (gray mouse lemur)
Lineage: Eukaryota; Metazoa; Chordata; Mammalia; Primates; Cheirogaleidae
Source: RNAcentral
AUUAGUCCAUACUGCCCCAAAUGAUCCUGAUCUCAGAAGCUAAGUAGGGUCAGGCCUCGUUAGUACUUGGAUGAGAGAAAAACUUGGAUGGGCAUAGUG